GUUAGGAAUAUUGGACAAUGGGCGCAAGCCUGAUCCAGCCAUGCCGCGUGAGUGAUGAAGGCCUUCGGGUUGUAAAGCUCUUUAGCCGAUGAUUAUAAUGACUGUAGUCGGAAAAUAAGCCCCGGCUAACUUCGUGCCAGCAGCCGCGGUAAUACGAAGGGGGCGAGCGUUAUUCGGAAUCACUGGGCGUAAAGCGUGCGUAGGCGGCUUUGCAAGUUGGGAGUGAAAGCCCAGGGCUCAACCCUGGAAUUGCUCUCAAAACUGCAAGGCUCGAAUUCGGGAGAGGAUAGCGGAAUUGUCAGUGUAGCAGUGAAAUGCGUAGAUAUUGACAGGAACACCAGUGGCGUAGGCGGCUAUCUGGACCGAUAUUGACGCUGAGGCACGAAAGCGUGGGGAUCAAACAGGAUUAGAUACCCUAGUAGUCC
This 425-nucleotide ribosomal RNA is filed under the name uncultured bacterium. RNAcentral's name for it is "partial 16S ribosomal RNA". It matches the Rfam family "Bacterial small subunit ribosomal RNA", at positions 354 to 796 of the family's 1533-position model. The record is from RNAcentral.